GUCUUUGUUGAUUUCAAACAGAAACUAAAAUGCAACCCAAGGACUCAGAUGAGAGCAGAACUUCUAGAAAGUGAGUCGAAAGCAAAGGAGCGCAUAUACUCUCUGCUGCAAAGGCUUCUGAGAAGGAGAAGUCAAGAGUUUGAUGUCUUUGUCAUCCCUGCUCGGGCAGCAGGAUACUUUCCCAGAGGCCAUGGAGACAGGACGCCUAGGUGCCCAAGCACUGCAGAGAUGGGUGAGUAUGGCGUUACCCCAAAAUGAUCCCACCCCAUGGGUAUGGACACUUCACUCUAAAUAGCAUUUCUAAAGUUAUUUCACCCUG
RNAcentral lists this long non-coding RNA (319 nucleotides) under Sus scrofa (pig). RNAcentral describes it as "lncRNA (ENSSSCG00030067457.1)". The record is from RNAcentral. Lineage: Eukaryota; Metazoa; Chordata; Mammalia; Artiodactyla; Suidae.